UACGGGGGGAGCAAGCGUUGUUCGGAUUUACUGGGCGUAAAGGGCGCGUAGGCGGCCACCGCAAGUCAGUUGUGAAAUCUCUGGGCUUAACCCAGAAAGGUCAACUGAUACUGCGGGGCUAGAGUGCAGAAGGGGCAACUGGAAUUCUCGGUGUAGCGGUGAAAUGCGUAGAUAUCGAGAGGAACACCUGCGGCGAAGGCGGGUUGCUGGGCUGACACUGACGCUGAGGAGCGAAAGCAUGGGGAGCGAACAGG
RNAcentral lists this ribosomal RNA (254 nucleotides) under uncultured bacterium. RNAcentral describes it as "partial 16S ribosomal RNA". It matches the Rfam family "Bacterial small subunit ribosomal RNA", at positions 524 to 776 of the family's 1533-position model. The record is from RNAcentral.